CAGGCCUUGACAUCCAAUGAACUUUCCAGAGAUGGAUUGGUGCCUUCGGGAACAUUGAGACAGGUGCUGCAUGGCUGUCGUCAGCUCGUGUCGUGAGAUGUUGGGUUAAGUCCCGUAACGAGCGCAACCCUUGUCCUUAGUUACCAGCACGUUAUGGUGGGCACUCUAAGGAGACUGCCGGUGACAAACCGGAGGAAGGUGGGGAUGACGUCAAGUCGUCAUGGCCCUUACGGCCUGGGCUACACACGUGCUACAAUGGUCGGUACAGAGGGUUGCCAA
Molecule: ribosomal RNA, 279 nt
Filed under: Pseudomonas cerasi
Lineage: Bacteria; Pseudomonadati; Pseudomonadota; Gammaproteobacteria; Pseudomonadales; Pseudomonadaceae
Description: partial 16S ribosomal RNA
Rfam family: Bacterial small subunit ribosomal RNA
Source: RNAcentral